This is a long non-coding RNA of Notothenia coriiceps (black rockcod), 282 nucleotides long. RefSeq lists it as uncharacterized. The record is from RefSeq and is a predicted model, not a curated record. The transcript has 3 exons. Lineage: Eukaryota; Metazoa; Chordata; Actinopteri; Perciformes; Nototheniidae.
AACGUAACACAAGCAGGCCGGCCCCCUUCAAGUCUCCACCUCCAUGCGGAAAUACGUACAGUCUAUGGGAAAUACAAGCAGUGAUGGAUGUGAAUAAAAGGUUCACUUUGUACUGUGUGCCCCCGGAUGUUGAUCUUGCUUGGGGGGAACUGCAGAGAAAAUGGUAGAACAAUCAAGAGGUCCAGAUCAGGCCCAAAUCCAGCACUGGAAAAUGUUACUUGGUCUGUUCUUACCCCCAUAGAUGUGGAUUUAUGACUGAUAUGGCUGGCUGAAUACAAUCAG